UUCUGGUUGAUCCUGCCAGAGGCGACCGCUAUUGGAGUUCGAUUAAGCCAUGCGAGUCGAGAGUCUUAGGGACUCGGCAUACUGCUCAGUAACACGUGGAUAACCUGCCCUGUGCUGGAGGAUAACCUCGGGAAACUGAGAAUAAUACUCCAUAGACCACUAUGCCUGGAAUGGUUUGUGGUUCAAAGCUCCGGCGGCACAGGAUGGGUCUGCGGCGUAUCAGGUUGUAGGGGGUGUAAAGGACCCUCUAGCCAUUGACGCGUACGGGUUGUGGGAGCAAUCGCCCGGAGAUGGAUUCUGAGACACGAAUCCAGACCCUACGGGGUGCAGCAGGCGCGGAAACUUCACACUGCGGGAAACCGUGAUGAGGGAACUCCAAGUGUUUGCACUAUGUGCAAUCUUUUCUUGACUUUUAAUAGGUCUUGGUAAUAAGGGGUGGGAAAGACCGGUGCCAGCCGCCGCGGUAAUACCGGCACCCCAAGUGGUCGUCGCUUUUAUUGGGCCUAAAACGUCCGUAGCCUGUUUGGUAAACCCGUGGGUAAAUCAACAUGCUCAACAUGUUGACUUCUGCGGAGA
This 576-nucleotide ribosomal RNA is filed under the name uncultured Candidatus Poseidoniales archaeon. RNAcentral's name for it is "bacterial SSU rRNA". It matches the Rfam family "Archaeal small subunit ribosomal RNA", at positions 1 to 583 of the family's 1478-position model. Lineage: Archaea; Methanobacteriati; Thermoplasmatota; Candidatus Poseidoniia; Candidatus Poseidoniales. The record is from RNAcentral.